Molecule: ribosomal RNA, 516 nt
Filed under: Neostrengeria lindigiana
Lineage: Eukaryota; Metazoa; Arthropoda; Malacostraca; Decapoda; Pseudothelphusidae
Description: partial large subunit ribosomal RNA
Rfam family: Archaeal large subunit ribosomal RNA
Source: RNAcentral
CCUGCCCAAUGAUAAUUAUAAAUUAUUUAAUGGCCGCGGUAUUUAUGACCGUGCAAAGGUAGCAUAAUCAUUAGUCUUUUAAUUGGAGGCUUGUAUGAAUGGUUGGACAAAAGAAAGACUGUCUAUCUUUAAUAAAAAUUGAAUUUAACUUUUAAGUGAGAAGGCUUAAAUAAUUCAGAGGGACGAUAAGACCCUAUAAAACUUUAUAAGAGAAAAAAUUAACUAAGUUUUUAUAUUAAAGGUUAAGUUAUGUUUUUUAUUGUGUUGGGGCAACUAAUGUAUAAUUAUUAUUAACUGCUUAUAUUAUAUACAGAUAUAUUUGAAUUAGGAUUUAAAUGAUCCUUUAUUUUAAAGAUUUAAAGAUUAAGUUACUUUAGGGAUAACAGCGUUAUUUUUUUUGAGAGUUCAUAUUGAAAAAAAAGUUUGCGACCUCGAUGUUGAAUUAAAAUUUCUAUAUAGUGCAGCUAUUAUAUAAGAAGGUCUGUUCGACCUUUAAUUUUUUACGUGAUCUGAGUU